Molecule: ribosomal RNA, 552 nt
Filed under: Salmonella enterica subsp. enterica serovar Enteritidis
Lineage: Bacteria; Pseudomonadati; Pseudomonadota; Gammaproteobacteria; Enterobacterales; Enterobacteriaceae
Description: bacterial SSU rRNA
Rfam family: Bacterial small subunit ribosomal RNA
Source: RNAcentral
GCUUCGCUGACGAGUGGCGGACGGGUGAGUAAUGUCUGGGAAACUGCCUGAUGGAGGGGGAUAACUACUGGAAACGGUGGCUAAUACCGCAUAACGUCGCAAGACCAAAGAGGGGGACCUUCGGGCCUCUUGCCAUCAGAUGUGCCCAGAUGGGAUUAGCUUGUUGGUGAGGUAACGGCUCACCAAGGCGACGAUCCCUAGCUGGUCUGAGAGGAUGACCAGCCACACUGGAACUGAGACACGGUCCAGACUCCUACGGGAGGCAGCAGUGGGGAAUAUUGCACAAUGGGCGCAAGCCUGAUGCAGCCAUGCCGCGUGUAUGAAGAAGGCCUUCGGGUUGUAAAGUACUUUCAGCGGGGAGGAAGGUGUUGUGGUUAAUAACCGCAGCAAUUGACGUUACCCGCAGAAGAAGCACCGGCUAACUCCGUGCCAGCAGCCGCGGUAAUACGGAGGGUGCAAGCGUUAAUCGGAAUUACUGGGCGUAAAGCGCACGCAGGCGGUCUGUCAAGUCGGAUGUGAAAUCCCCGGGCUCAACCUGGGAACUGCAUUCGA